AGUGAACGCUGGCGGUAGGCCUAACACAUGCAAGUCGAACGGCAGCACAGGAGAGCUUGCUCUCUGGGUGGCGAGUGGCGGACGGGUGAGGAAUACAUCGGAAUCUACUCUGUCGUGGGGGAUAACGUAGGGAAACUUACGCUAAUACCGCAUACGACCUACGGGUGAAAGCAGGGGAUCUUCGGACCUUGCGCGAUUGAAUGAGCCGAUGUCGGAUUAGCUAGUUGGCGGGGUAAAGGCCCACCAAGGCGACGAUCCGUAGCUGGUCUGAGAGGAUGAGCAGCCACACUGGAACUGAGACACGGUCCAGACUCCUACGGGAGGCAGCAGUGGGGAAUAUUGGACAAUGGGCGCAAGCCUGAUCCAGCCAUACCGCGUGGGUGAAGAAGGCCUUCGGGUUGUAAAGCCCUUUUGUUGGGAAGGAAAUCCAGCUGGUUAAUACCCGGUUGGGAUGACGGUACCCAAAGAAUAAGCACCGGCUAACUUCGUGCCAGCCGCCGCAGUAA
This 506-nucleotide ribosomal RNA is filed under the name uncultured bacterium. RNAcentral describes it as "partial 16S ribosomal RNA". It matches the Rfam family "Bacterial small subunit ribosomal RNA", at positions 29 to 523 of the family's 1533-position model. The record is from RNAcentral.